AGUAAUGUGAUACACGUCUCACUAGCGAGAUACUUUGGGGUCGUGACACACUUAAUAAAGUAUACACGUCUAUCAUCGUCAUAUGGCCAGGCUGCCGACGAACAGACACCGUUUCUCGUUUCUCUCCUCCUCCUGUUUUCCAACCUUUCUCCGCUAACUCUAUAAGUUACAAAAUUUUCUGACGCUUUCGAUCACUGUCUCAACUUCAUUCUUUCUUCUCUUGGUAACUUGCCGGUAAUUUUCUUUUCGUGUUAUUUUCUUUCGAGUCUAUUUUUAUGUGAUUUUUUCAUCUGGGUGUGAAUUUUUCUUUCGGUGGACAGUUGAGUUUCUGAUCAAUUAUUAGCUUUGUAUGUUGAUUUAAAGCUGAAAAUUAUUUUCAUACAACACUUAUGUUAUUUGAUUUUGAAAUCGAAUGUAUAAAAUUUCUUUCCUCAUUGCUUUGGAAUUGAAUAUCGAGGCAUUAGUCGAAACCCCAAAUCUGCUUUCUGUUAUUGCUUCCCUUGCUCGCAGGCAGCUUCAUCAAUUGAUAUUUCUGGUGAAGCUGCUCCCUCGACUGAAUGUCGCACUCUGGCUUUGCAACUUAGUCUAUGCUCUUCGCAUUUAAUGAAAAUUUUCACUCUUUUAUGUGGUUUUUUUGUACAUUUUUCUUUAUAUAUAGCAGGGAUUUGCAUAUUAACGCGGUCGACCCCUAUGCCAUAAUUUCUCAAAACGAGGAGGCCAUAGAUAAAUUUGACAUUAGUGAUUCCGCUGGCAAACCUCGAGGGUCGAAUGUAGGUGACAAUGCUUGGGAAAAGGGAACAUAAGGAAAUCAAAGAAUUCAAUGGAGCUCAUUGUCUCAUAUUUUGGGGGAUAAAGAAAGAUGAAGUGGUUUAAUGCCAUGGGCAGCUGCAAAGAGACUUUCCACUUCAAAAGCUGCUAAAGCUUUUGAUCACUAAAAUUCUGCAAAAAUCUCGACUAAAUAUAGAAAAGAUCGGAUUCCAAUUUUUAUCAAAAAGAAACUGAAGAUCUAAUGCUUCAACUACAUAGUUCAACUCAUUAAAGAAAUGGAGCAAGAUAAAAGCACUGCAAGUGUUCCAUCCAUUUAGAAACGUCAGAGAAAGUAGUUUGUAAUUAUUCUGAACAGAAAGCUGUUGUUGCUUAUUAAAGAUACUACCACCUGGGAACUUUCAUUGGUGACAUACGAUCACAUGUUACCCUAGGAGUAUCAAUUAUUUGCUUUUUCAUUAUUGUAUCUUCUAUCAUCUGGCUAAAGAAUAAGACAAUUCCAUAAAGAUGGCGUUAAACCUUUGAACAAUUUAAUGAAGUUCUG
RNAcentral lists this long non-coding RNA (1309 nucleotides) under Nicotiana tabacum (common tobacco). RNAcentral's name for it is "long non-coding RNA (NTAB_LNC003229)". Lineage: Eukaryota; Viridiplantae; Streptophyta; Magnoliopsida; Solanales; Solanaceae. The record is from RNAcentral.